UACCAGCUCUCCGAGUGGUGUGGAUGUUUAUUGGGCCUAAAGCAUCCGUAGCUGGCUGGACAAGUCCCCUGUUAAAUCCACCGAUUUAAUCGUUGGUGUGCGGGGGAUACUGUUCGGCUAGGGGACGGGAGAGGCCGACGGUAUUUCCGGGGUAGGGGUGAAAUCCUAUAAUCCCGGGAAGACCACCAGUGGCGAAGGCUGUCGGCUAGAACGCGCCCGACGGUGAGGGAUGAAAGCUGGGGGAGCGAACCGGAUUAGAUACCCGGGUAGUCCCAGCUGUAAACGAUGCAGGCUAGGUGUUUGGGCGGCCACGUGCCGCUCUAGUGCCGCAAGGACGCUGUUAAGCCUGCCGCCUGGGGAGUACGGCCGCAAGGCUGAAACUUAAAGGAAUUGGCGGGGGAGCACCACAAGGGGUGAAGCUUGCGGUUU
RNAcentral lists this ribosomal RNA (429 nucleotides) under uncultured archaeon. RNAcentral describes it as "bacterial SSU rRNA". It matches the Rfam family "Archaeal small subunit ribosomal RNA", at positions 474 to 903 of the family's 1478-position model. The record is from RNAcentral.